This 320-nucleotide long non-coding RNA is filed under the name Arabidopsis lyrata. RNAcentral's name for it is "long non-coding RNA (ALYR_LNC000322)". The record is from RNAcentral. Lineage: Eukaryota; Viridiplantae; Streptophyta; Magnoliopsida; Brassicales; Brassicaceae.
CCCCAGUCUUUAGCCGGAAUUUGGUCAACUUUGUGAAACAUCCGUGGCUCUGGUUCGGGAUGUUCGUUUGGUUCAAGAAUAGUCUCCUCGAGUAAUGGCUCUGUUUCUAACAUCGUUUCUGGAAUCAUUUCUUCAGCUAAGACAACGGGUUCCUUGUCAGAUGUACUUGAUCCCUUUGACUUUCUUCGUUUGUUGGGUGGCGGUUCGAUCUCUGGUUCGCCACGGUCGCGUGCUGCUGCCCGAGACCUUGUAACGACGAGGGUUUCCUUGCUGUCUUGAAUGCUUCGCUCCGAGAUGCAUUCUACUGGAAUAACUCUCUU